GGGUUAGCAGGUCGGUCGUGCCAAUGGUAUGCACUGGCUCGCUGACUCCUCCUUCUUGUAGAACCGUAAUGCCAUUAAUUUGGUGUUGCGGGGAAACAGGACUGUUACUUUGAAAAAAUUAGAGUGUUUAAAGCAAGCUAACGCUUGAAUACAUUAGCAUGGAAUAAUGAAAUAGGACGUUCGAUCCUAUUUUGUUGGUUUCUAGGAUUGACGUAAUGAUUAAUAGGGAUAGUUGGGGGCAUUAGUAUUCAAUUGUCAGAGGUGAAAUUCUUGGAUUUAUUGAAGACUAACUACUGCGAAAGCAUUUGCCAAGGAUGUUUUCAUUAAUCAAGAACGAAAGUUAGGGGAUCGAAGACGAUCAGAUACCGUCGUAGUCUUAACCAUAAACUAUGCCGACUAGGGAUCGGAUGAUGUUAAUUUUUUAAUGACUCAUUCGGCGCCUUACGGGAAACCAAAGUGUUUGGGUUCCGGGGGGAGUAUGGUCGCAAGGCUGAAACUUAAAGGAAUUGACGGAAGGGCACCACCAGGGGUGGAGCCUGCGGCUUAAUUUGACUCAACACGGGGAAACUCACCAGGUCCAGACAUAGUAAGGAUUGACAGAUUGAGAGC
Molecule: ribosomal RNA, 609 nt
Filed under: Glomus sp. MS
Lineage: Eukaryota; Fungi; Glomeromycota; Glomeromycetes; Glomerales; Glomeraceae
Description: SSU rRNA
Rfam family: Eukaryotic small subunit ribosomal RNA
Source: RNAcentral